RNAcentral lists this ribosomal RNA (391 nucleotides) under Rhizosolenia sp. RNAcentral describes it as "partial small subunit ribosomal RNA". It matches the Rfam family "Eukaryotic small subunit ribosomal RNA", at positions 582 to 975 of the family's 1831-position model. Lineage: Eukaryota; Bacillariophyta; Coscinodiscophyceae; Rhizosoleniales; Rhizosoleniaceae. The record is from RNAcentral.
AUUCCAGCUCCAAUAGUGUAUAUUAAAGUUGUUGCAGUUAAAAAGCUCGUAGUUGGAUUUCUGGCGGGAGCGAUCGGUCCUUCACUCAGUGUUGGAACCUGAUUGUCUCCUGCCAUCCAUGGAGAAAACUUAUCUGGCAUUAAGUUGUCGGGUAGGCAAUCUCCAUCUUUUACUGUGAAAAAAUUAGAGUGUUCAAAGCAGGCUUAUGCCGUUGAAUAUAUUAGCAUGGAAUAAUAAGAUAGGACUAUGGUACUAUUUUGUUGGUUUGCGAGUCAAAGUAAUGAUUAAUAGGGACAGUUGGGGGUAUUCGUAUUUCAUUGUCAGAGGUGAAAUUCUUGGAUUUCUGAGAGACGAACUACUGCGAAAGCAUUUACCAAGGAUGUUUUCAUUG